Molecule: ribosomal RNA, 497 nt
Filed under: uncultured bacterium
Lineage: Bacteria
Description: partial 16S ribosomal RNA
Rfam family: Bacterial small subunit ribosomal RNA
Source: RNAcentral
GAUGAACGCUGGCGGCGUGCCUAAUACAUGCAAGUCGAGCGAACGGACGAGAAGCUUGCUUCUCUGAUGUUAGCGGCGGACGGGUGAGUAACACGUGGAUAACCUACCUAUAAGACUGGGAUAACUUCGGGAAACCGGAGCUAAUACCGGAUGAUAUUUUGAACCGCAUGGUUCAAAAGUGAAAGACGGUCUUGCUGUCACUUAUAGAUGGAUCCGCGCUGCAUUAGCUAGUUGGUAAGGUAACGGCUUACCAAGGCAACGAUGCAUAGCCGACCUGAGAGGGUGGUCGGCCACACUGGAACUGAGACACGGUCCAGACGCCUACGGGAGGCAGCAGUAGGGAAUCUUCCGCAAUGGGCGAAAGCCUGACGGAGCAACGCCGCGUGAGUGAUGAAGGUCUUCGGAUCGUAAAACUCUGUUAUUAGGGAAGAACAUAUGUGUAAGUAACUGUGCACAUCUUGACGGUACCUAAUCAGAAAGCCACGGCUAACUACGUG